This 564-nucleotide ribosomal RNA is filed under the name uncultured Glomeromycotina. Its description in RNAcentral is "SSU rRNA". It matches the Rfam family "Eukaryotic small subunit ribosomal RNA", at positions 548 to 1114 of the family's 1831-position model. The record is from RNAcentral. Lineage: Eukaryota; Fungi; Glomeromycota.
UUGGAGGGCAAGUCUGGUGCCAGCAGCCGCGGUAAUUCCAGCUCCAAUAGCGUAUAUUAAAGUUGUUGCAGUUAAAAAGCUCGUAGUUGAAUUUCGAGAUCAAUUUGUCGGUCGUGCCUCGGUACGUACUGGCAUUAUUGAUCUCUCCCUUCUGAAGAACCGCGAUGUCAUUAAUUUGGUGUCGUGGGGAAUCAGGACUGUUACUUUGAAAAAAUUAGAGUGUUUAAAGCAGGCUUUAGCUUGAAUACAUUAGCAUGGAAUAAUGAAAUAGGACGUUCGAACCUAUUUUGUUGGUUUCUAGGAUCAACGUAAUGAUUAAUAGGGAUAGUUGGGGGCAUUAGUAUUCAAUUGUCAGAGGUGAAAUUCUUGGAUUUAUUGAAGACUAACUACUGCGAAAGCAUUUGCCAAGGAUGUUUUCAUUAAUCAAGAACGAAAGUUAGGGGAUCGAAGACGAUCAGAUACCGUCGUAGUCUUAACCAUAAACUAUGCCGACUAGGGAUCGGAUGAUGUUAAUUUUUUAAUGACUCAUUCGGCGCCUUACGGGAAACCAAAGUGUUUGGGUUC